Molecule: long non-coding RNA, 1357 nt
Organism: Rhinopithecus roxellana (golden snub-nosed monkey)
Lineage: Eukaryota; Metazoa; Chordata; Mammalia; Primates; Cercopithecidae
Exons: 6
Source: RefSeq, a predicted model, not a curated record
GGUUCUCGUAGCGCACGGGGCUGGCGCGGAAGGGAGCCAAUGGGCCGUCUUAGACACCUGCCCCUGCUCCCGCCCAACGCCCUAAGACACCAGCCCUGCUUUAAGGCAUUGUUUGGAGACAAUGCAUGAACAUUCCUAGAGCAGUGUCUGGUACAUGGUCUGUAAUCCAAGAUGUCUAUAAAGAACUGGGAUAUCAAUAGGAAAUCAUCUUCAUCCAGACUUAUUCCUGAGUGGAAGAACUUGAAGUUCCUCAUAAAUAAGAUCCUGAAGAACAUAAAGACUGAUGAAGAACCAAAGAAUGAUGUGGUUCUACUGAGUGACUGGCCUGAGACUCUAUACCGGGAGUCUCACCAUCGCCAGAACAAGCCUUUUGUCUGCUUCUACUACUCCAUCAAGGUCAACUGUUUUGUCUCCUUAAACUGGAUGGAACCUGGUGGAAAAAUGCAGGCAAGAAAUUAUUGGAGAAAUCACUCUGGGACAACUGCUGAAUAUUCAAGCUGAAGAUAUACAGUCCCUGCUUAUUCAUGUGGAGCAGCAGCUAAAUGAAAACUUGACCUUGUUACAAAGAGAAAAGUCAUUUACUUUUUCUUUUGAUAUACCAUGGUCUGAAGAACUUAAAGUCUUUUCUAAAGACAUGCUCGUACCUUUGUCAGAACCUGUAAAGAUCACCAAACCAAAGAAAAGAAAGAGACAUUUUCAAGAAAGAAGCAGAAAGCUUAUUAAAAAGGACCUGAGAGUUGCCAGGAAGCACAGAAAGACAAAGUUGGGAAAGUCUAGUUCCAUGUUGAUGCCUUCAGAAGAUGCAGGUGAACAAAGAGAGGCCAGGAAAUCAGAGCAAGUUGAAACCCAACAUGUUACCUUAGAGCCAGAGCUACCACUGAGUUCUUUAAGCACAGUCAAAUCCCAGGAUUAUGCUGAAACAGAGAAGGAGGUCAUUUUACAAGUUAUAGAGGCCAUGGAGGCCACAGAAGCCCUGGAGGCCACAGACACCAUGGAAGCCAUAGAUCAAGGUAGCAUGAAAGAUUAUGGAGACGUGAUCUCUAAGCUGGAAAGAAAAGAACACAUUAAAAGGCUUUGGAAAAAGGCAAUGAGAAAAACCCACAGAAUAGCAGAUGUGCAGUGGAAAGAGAAACAAGAUUUGAAGGAUAUUUCAGAGGUGACUACAGAAGAACCUAAGGAAGAUGUCAUAAAAAUUGGUGAGCAAGAAGAAGGUAAAUGGAAGAAAAGUGAAAAGAAGACCCGGGGUUUGGCUGGGACCCCUGGACAUGCAGGUAGACCAGACACCAGAUCUUGGAGGGAUGACAUUUGCUCUCUUGUCACUUCAAGGAUAGCAAGUUCCCAUCCAGGAAUGUUAAGG